Molecule: ribosomal RNA, 500 nt
Filed under: uncultured Bifidobacterium sp.
Lineage: Bacteria; Bacillati; Actinomycetota; Actinomycetes; Bifidobacteriales; Bifidobacteriaceae
Description: bacterial SSU rRNA
Rfam family: Bacterial small subunit ribosomal RNA
Source: RNAcentral
CCAGUUGGAUGCAUGUCCUUCUGGGAAAGAUUCUAUCGGUAUGGGAUGGGGUCGCGUCCUAUCAGCUUGAUGGCGGGGUAACGGCCCACCAUGGCUUCGACGGGUAGCCGGCCUGAGAGGGCGACCGGCCACAUUGGGACUGAGAUACAGCCCAGACUCUACGGGAGGCAGCAGUGGGGAAUAUUGCACAAUGGGCGCAAGCCUGAUGCAGCGACGCGCGUGCGGGAUGACGGCCUUCAGGUUGUAAACCGCUUUUGACUGGGAGCAAGCUCUCGGGGUGAGUGUACCUUUCGAAUAAGCACCGGCUAACUACGUGCCAGCAGCCGCGGUAAUACGUAGGGUGCAAGCGUUAUCCGGAAUUAUCGGGCGUAAAGGGCUCGUAGGCGGUUCGUCGCGUCCGGUGUGAAAGUCCAUCGCUUAACGGUGGAUCCGCGCCGGGUACGGGCGGGCUUGAGUGCGGUAGGGGAGACUGGAAUUCCCGGUGUAACGGUGGAAUCGAA